RNAcentral lists this ribosomal RNA (253 nucleotides) under uncultured bacterium. RNAcentral's name for it is "partial 16S ribosomal RNA". It matches the Rfam family "Bacterial small subunit ribosomal RNA", at positions 524 to 776 of the family's 1533-position model. The record is from RNAcentral.
UACGUAGGGACCAAGCGUUGUUCGGAUUUACUGGGCGUAAAGGGCGCGUAGGCGGCAAUUCAAGUCAUCUGUGAAAUCUCCGGGCUUAACUCGGAACGGUCAGAUGAUACUGCUUUGCUAGAGUACAGAAGGGGCAAUCGGAGUUCUUGGCGUAGCGGUGAAAUGCGUAGAUAUCAAGAGGAACACCUGAGGUGAAGACGGGUUGCUGGGCUGAUACUGACGCUGAGGCGCGAAAGCUAGGGUAGCAAACGGG